This 700-nucleotide ribosomal RNA is filed under the name uncultured bacterium. RNAcentral's name for it is "bacterial SSU rRNA". It matches the Rfam family "Bacterial small subunit ribosomal RNA", at positions 94 to 828 of the family's 1533-position model. The record is from RNAcentral.
AGUGGCGGACGGGUGUGUAACGCGUAAGAAUCUAACUUCAGGACGGGGACAACAGUGGGAAACGACUGCUAAUACCCGAUGUGCCGCAAGGUGAAACCUAAUUGGCCUGGAGAAGAGCUUGCGUCUGAUUAGCUAGUUGGUGGGGUAAAGGCCUACCAAGGCGACGAUCAGUAGCUGGUCUGAGAGGAUGAGCAGCCACACUGGGACUGAGACACGGCCCAGACUCCUACGGGAGGCAGCAGUGGGGAAUUUUCCGCAAUGGGCGAAAGCCUGACGGAGCAACGCCGCGUGAGGGAGGAAGGUCUUUGGAUUGUAAACCUCUUUUCUCAAGGAAGAAGUUCUGACGGUACUUGAGGAAUCAGCCUCGGCUAACUCCGUGCCAGCAGCCGCGGUAAUACGGGGGAGGCAAGCGUUAUCCGGAAUUAUUGGGCGUAAAGCGUCCGCAGGUGGUCAGCCAAGUCUGCCGUCAAAUCAGGUUGCUUAACGACCUAAAGGCGGUGGAAACUGGCAGACUAGAGAGCAGUAGGGGUAGCAGGAAUUCCCAGUGUAGCGGUGAAAUGCGUAGAGAUCGGGAAGAACAUCGGUGGCGAAAGCGUGCUACUGGGCUGUAUCUGACACUCAGGGACGAAAGCUAGGGGAGCGAAAGGGAUUAGAUACCCCUGUAGUCCUAGCCGUAAACGAUGGAUACUAGGCGUGGCUU